RNAcentral lists this long non-coding RNA (297 nucleotides) under Linum usitatissimum (flax). Its description in RNAcentral is "long non-coding RNA (LUSI_LNC000906)". The record is from RNAcentral. Lineage: Eukaryota; Viridiplantae; Streptophyta; Magnoliopsida; Malpighiales; Linaceae.
UGAUUCCCAAAUGUGGCCGAUUGCUCUUUCCCGCUGCCCCCUUUGUAUGUGCUAAAGAAUCUGAGCAUCCUUGAUUUUAUUUUUGGAUGACGACAACCGCGAAUUUUGAUCCCUCCUCGAUUUUCGUUUUGUACCGCUGACUUCCUGGUUUCUUCCCUUGAGCUGUAUCUUGAUUCUGCCGGAGGAACUUUGGAUGCAUAUUAUAUUUGGUUAUCGGGGUUUUAUAUAUAUAUAUAUAUAGUGAUGAAAACAGUGAGAGUCCAUCCUAGCUCAUUGUAUGUGUUGAAGAGGAGGAUU